RNAcentral lists this ribosomal RNA (497 nucleotides) under uncultured bacterium. RNAcentral describes it as "partial 16S ribosomal RNA". It matches the Rfam family "Bacterial small subunit ribosomal RNA", at positions 28 to 507 of the family's 1533-position model. The record is from RNAcentral.
GAUGAACGCUGGCGGCGUGCCUAAUACAUGCAAGUCGAGCGAACAGACGAGGAGCUUGCUCCUCUGACGUUAGCGGCGGACGGGUGAGUAACACGUGGAUAACCUACCUAUAAGACUGGGAUAACUUCGGGAAACCGGAGCUAAUACCGGAUAAUAUAUUGAACCGCAUGGUUCAAUAGUGAAAGACGGUUUUGCUGUCACUUAUAGAUGGAUCCGCGCCGCAUUAGCUAGUUGGUAAGGUAACGGCUUACCAAGGCAACGAUGCGUAGCCGACCUGAGAGGGUGAUCGGCCACACUGGAACUGAGACACGGUCCAGACUCCUACGGGAGGCAGCAGUAGGGAAUCUUCCGCAAUGGGCGAAGGCCUGACGGAGCAACGCCGCGUGAGUGAUGAAGGUCUUCGGAUCGUAAAACUCUGUUAUUAGGGAAGAACAAAUGUGUAAGUAACUAUGCACGUCUUGACGGUACCUAAUCAGAAAGCCACGGCUAGCUACGUG